CCCUGCGUCCCUCGCGAUUUGAACGGCCGGCUUGCGGCGAGGCUAAACAACCGCGCUAAAGAGGCCCGGGAUACGUUCUU
RNAcentral lists this non-coding RNA (80 nucleotides) under Neoasaia chiangmaiensis. The record is from RNAcentral. Lineage: Bacteria; Pseudomonadati; Pseudomonadota; Alphaproteobacteria; Acetobacterales; Acetobacteraceae.